This 683-nucleotide long non-coding RNA is filed under the name Phoenix dactylifera (date palm). RNAcentral's name for it is "long non-coding RNA (PDAC_LNC019239)". Lineage: Eukaryota; Viridiplantae; Streptophyta; Magnoliopsida; Arecales; Arecaceae. The record is from RNAcentral.
GAACAUCAAAACCUACUCGCAACCAAUCCAAAAUUAAGGUUCUUCCCCUCUUUUUCGCCAGAAUCAAGAAUCAAGAACUGGUUACAAGUUCAAAGGCUUCCUUCUUUCGCUCUAUUAAUCGAAACCCUCGAUCUUGAUAACAGAGGGAAAGGGGAGAAGAAAGGAACCUGACGAGGACGUCGUCGUCGUCGGAAGAGGAGCGAUCAUCGUCGGCUUCUUUGAUCUAAAGCUCAAGCUCUCUGAUCUGCUCCAUCUGAAGCCUCUCACGCUCCAGAAUCCCCUCGACGCUCUCCUCUUCCGUCGCUCUCCCACGCUUCUACCGCGAGUGCCGAGGGAUCGGUGCUUUCGCCGCUCCCAGUUUCCAGUUUGAUAUCUCCUGUUUUAUUUUUUCUCCUUUGGCUGGACGCGACGCGUGGGGGUUACAACCCGAAAACCCUCUCUUACGGUGAAAAUAGCAGGUUUUCGGAUCUUAAUCCGACCCGGUAAGAUUUUCUUUUUCCGCUCGAGUGAGAGAAAUUUAUCUCAUGAAAAAAUGUUGGAUAAAAAAUAGGUAAGGGUGCAUACCUGCCUGCCAGCAAAUUUUACUUUCUUCGAGCCAAAUUAUUGGGCUGAAUUUAUUAAUGUUUUGAACAUCUUUCACUCAAUCCAGCCGACUGAUAAGAAGUCUACUGAAUGGCCCUUCC